Molecule: ribosomal RNA, 484 nt
Filed under: uncultured bacterium
Lineage: Bacteria
Description: partial 16S ribosomal RNA
Rfam family: Bacterial small subunit ribosomal RNA
Source: RNAcentral
AUUGAACGCUGGCGGCAGGCCUAACACAUGCAAGUCGAGCGGAUGAAGGGAGCUUGCUCCUGGAUUCAGCGGCGGACGGGUGAGUAAUGCCUAGGAAUCUGCCUGGUAGUGGGGGAUAACGUCCGGAAACGGGCGCUAAUACCGCAUACGUCCUGAGGGAGAAAGUGGGGGAUCUUCGGACCUCACGCUAUAAGUUGAGCCUAGGCCGGAUUAGCUAGUUGGUGGGGUAAAGGCCUACCAAGGCGACGAUCCGUAACUGGUCUGAGAGGAUGAUCAGUCACACUGGAACUGAGACACGGUCCAGACUCCUACGGGAGGCAGCAGUGGGGAAUAUUGGACAAUGGGCGAAAGCCUGAUCCAGCCAUGCCGCGUGUGUGAAGAAGGUCUUCGGAUUGUAAAGCACUUUAAGUUGGGAGGAAGGGCAGUAAGUUAAUACCUUGCUGUUUUGACGUUACCAACAGAAUAAGCACCGGCUAACUUCGUG